GGAAUAUUGCACAAUGGGCGAAAGCCUGAUGCAGCGACGCCGCGUGAGGGAUGACGGCCUUCGGGUUGUAAACCUCUUUCAGCAGGGACGAAGCGCAAGUGACGGUACCUGCAGAAGAAGCACCGGCUAACUACGUGCCAGCAGCCGCGGUAAUACGUAGGGUGCAAGCGUUGUCCGGAAUUACUGGGCGUAAAGAGUUCGUAGGCGGUUUGUCGCGUCGUUUGUGAAAACCAGCAGCUCAACUGCUGGCUUGCAGGCGAUACGGGCAGACUUGAGUACUGCAGGGGAGACUGGAAUUCCUGGUGUAGCGGUGAAAUGCGCAGAUAUCAGGAGGAACACCGGUGGCGAAGGCGGGUCUCUGGGCAGUAACUGACGCUGAGGAACGAAAGCGUGGGUAGCGAACAGGAUUAGAUACCCCGG
This 420-nucleotide ribosomal RNA is filed under the name uncultured Rhodococcus sp. RNAcentral's name for it is "bacterial SSU rRNA". It matches the Rfam family "Bacterial small subunit ribosomal RNA", at positions 358 to 790 of the family's 1533-position model. Lineage: Bacteria; Bacillati; Actinomycetota; Actinomycetes; Mycobacteriales; Nocardiaceae. The record is from RNAcentral.